RNAcentral lists this ribosomal RNA (441 nucleotides) under uncultured bacterium. RNAcentral's name for it is "partial 16S ribosomal RNA". It matches the Rfam family "Bacterial small subunit ribosomal RNA", at positions 338 to 795 of the family's 1533-position model. The record is from RNAcentral.
CCUACGGGAGGCUGCAGUGGGGAAUAUUGCACAAUGGGGGAAACCCUGAUGCAGCGACGCCGCGUGGGUGACGAAGUAUUUCGGUAUGUAAAGCCCUAUCAGCAGGGAAGAAUAUGACAGUACCUGACCAAGAAGCCCCGGCUAACUACGUGCCAGCAGCCGCGGUAAUACGUAGGGGGCAAGCGUUAUCCGGAUUUACUGGGUGUAAAGGGAGCGUAGGUGGCAUGGCAAGCCAGAAGUGAAAACCCGGGGCUUAACCCCGCGGAUUGCUUUUGGAACUGUCAGGCUGGAGUGCAGGAGGGGCAGGCGGAAUUCCUGGUGUAGCGGUGAAAUGCGUAGAUAUCAGGAGGAACACCGGUGGCGAAGGCGGCCUGCUGGACUGUAACUGACACUGAGGCUCGAAAGCGUGGGGAGCAAACAGGAUUAGAUACCCGUGUAGUC